AAUCAACGCUGGCGGCGUGCCUAACACAUGCAAGUCGAACGAGAAGGUGACUUCGGUCACUGGAUAGUGGCGUCCGAGUGAGUAACACGUAGGUAAUCUACCUUCGGGUGGGGAAUAACGUCUCGAAAGAGACGCUAAUACCGCAUAAUGCAGCGGCACCUAAUGGUGAUUAGUUGUUAAAGCGGGGGAUCUUCGGACCUCGCGCCUGAAGAGGAGCCUGCGGCAGANAGCUAGUUGGUGAGGUAAUGGCUCACCAAGGCUUCGAUCUGUAGCUGGUCUGAGAGGACGGCCAGCCACACUGGCACUGACACACGGGCCAGACUCCUACGGGAGGCAGCAGUGGGGUAAUUUGGGCAAUGGGCGAAAGCCUGACCCAGCAACGCCGCGUGAAGGAGGAAAUCC
This 402-nucleotide ribosomal RNA is filed under the name uncultured bacterium. Its description in RNAcentral is "bacterial SSU rRNA". It matches the Rfam family "Bacterial small subunit ribosomal RNA", at positions 32 to 416 of the family's 1533-position model. The record is from RNAcentral.